CAAAGAACUUUGAAGAGAGAGUUCAAGAGGGCGUGAAACCGUUUGGAAGGAAACGGACAGAGCCAACAAUAGUUGAUGGAAUUCAGUUUGCCAGCCAGAACUUAGAUGCACAAGUGGACCGAUCGCCAUGGUGUGUUUGAGCUUCAAGCUGAUGAAUGCAUUUUCCAUCGAUGUGCAUUGAGGGUGGUGAGUACACGGAACAAAACCUGGAUUGCCGACCCUAUUAUUGGGGUGCCCCUUCCAGGCAAAGGGCUGUUGUAUCCACUAGCAAAACAGUGUCCGCAUAGCUCGGUAGUCAGGUUACUCAGUUGAACGAACCUGGGCAUUGAGCUUGCUCGAUGUCCUAACACUCAAUUGGGUUUGCAUGGUGAUCCGAGUGACACUGACCUCGGUGUAAAAGUUGGCCACCUGUCCGACCCGUCUUGAAACACGGACCAAGGAGUCUAACGUGCACGCAAGUCACUAGGUAGUAAACCUAGAGGCGCAAUGAGAGUGAAAGCUGGCUUGAUCAGCCUAUACGGGAUCCUCUCCAGGGAGGUGCACCGUAGCCCCGUCUCGUUCGCUUGUCGAAGGGGCGGAGGAAGAGCGUGCACGCUGGGACCCGAAAGAUGGUGAACUAUGCCUGAGCAGGGCGAAGCCAGAGGAAACUCUGGUGGAGGUCCGAAGCGGUUCUGACGUGCAAAUCGAUCGUCAGACUUGGGUAUAGGGGCGAAAGACUAAUCGAACCAUC
This 730-nucleotide ribosomal RNA is filed under the name Hopperia dolichura. RNAcentral's name for it is "eukaryotic LSU rRNA". It matches the Rfam family "Eukaryotic large subunit ribosomal RNA", at positions 367 to 944 of the family's 3401-position model. Lineage: Eukaryota; Metazoa; Nematoda; Chromadorea; Araeolaimida; Comesomatidae. The record is from RNAcentral.